AGAGUUGAUCAUGGCUCAGAUUGAACGCUGGCGGCAUGCUUUACACAUGCAAGUCGAACGGCAGCACAGGGGAGCUUGCUCCCGGGUGGCGAGUGGCGCACGGGUGAGUAAUACAUCGGAACGUGUCCUGUUGUGGGGGAUAACUGCUCGAAAGGGUGGCUAAUACCGCAUGAGACCUGAGGGUGAAAGCGGGGGAUCGCAAGACCUCGCGCAAUUGGAGCGGCCGAUGCCCGAUUAGCUAGUUGGUGAGGUAAAGGCUCACCAAGGCGACGAUCGGUAGCUGGUCUGAGAGGACGACCAGCCACACUGGGACUGAGACACGGCCCAGACUCAUACGGGAGGCAGCA
This 347-nucleotide ribosomal RNA is filed under the name uncultured bacterium. RNAcentral describes it as "bacterial SSU rRNA". It matches the Rfam family "Bacterial small subunit ribosomal RNA", at positions 8 to 353 of the family's 1533-position model. The record is from RNAcentral.